CCUACGGGAGGCAGCAGUAGGGAAUCUUCCACAAUGGGCGAAAGCCUGAUGGAGCAACGCCGCGUGGGUGAAGAAGGUCUUCGGAUCGUAAAACCCUGUUUUUAGAGAAGAAAGUGCGUGAGCGUAACUGUUCACGUUUCGACGGUAUCUAACCAGAAAGCCACGACUAACUACGUGCCAGCAGCCGCGGUAAUACGUAGGUGGCAAGCGUUAUCCGGAUUUAUUGGGCGUAAAGGGAACGCAGGCGGUCUUUUAAGUCUGAUGUGAAAUCCUUCGGCUUAACCGGAGUAGUGCAUUGGAAACUGGGAGACUUGAGUGCAGAAGAGGAGAGUGGAACUCCAUGUGUAGCGGUGAAAUGCGUAGAUAUAUGGAAGAACACCAGUGGCGAAAGCGGCUCUCUGGUCUGUAACUGACGCUGAGGUUCGAAAGCGUGGGUAGCAAACAGGAUUAGAUACCCCAGUAGUC
This 465-nucleotide ribosomal RNA is filed under the name uncultured bacterium. RNAcentral's name for it is "partial 16S ribosomal RNA". It matches the Rfam family "Bacterial small subunit ribosomal RNA", at positions 338 to 795 of the family's 1533-position model. The record is from RNAcentral.